RNAcentral lists this long non-coding RNA (411 nucleotides) under Brassica napus (rape). RNAcentral's name for it is "long non-coding RNA (BNAP_LNC024955)". The record is from RNAcentral. Lineage: Eukaryota; Viridiplantae; Streptophyta; Magnoliopsida; Brassicales; Brassicaceae.
UAAGAUGAAAAACUAGGAAAGAGAUUAUACUUACUUUGGGUUACUGUAUCUUUGGUCUUAAAGGAAAGGCGAUUAUUAUGUUUUUAAUUGAACAUUUAUUCAAAUAUGCAAAACAAACGAAUGUUACAAUCUUUCAUCAAUUGAUUAUGAUUAGACACCCGUUAAUCCGCUGUACAGUCGACCAAUCAACAAGUUACACAAUGCAACUAACAGUCAUUUAUAUGGGAUCAGUCCAUGACACCUGAAAGUUUAUGAUAGAUUAUGAAAACUAUGUCGAAUGUUGACAGUGACUAGACAGCUUUCUCAUAUGAAAUCACCGAGACAAUCAUUCAAUUUUUUCUUUGGUUUUUAUAUAGUAUAUACCAACUAAUUAAAUUAGUGAAAAUAAGAACUCAAACGAAUCGGCGCCAA